UCCGUCGUAGUCUAGGUGGUUAGGAUACUCGGCUCUCAUCCGAGAGACCUUGGUUCAAGUCCCGGCGGCGAAA
This 73-nucleotide transfer RNA is filed under the name Hordeum vulgare. RNAcentral describes it as "tRNA-Glu". It matches the Rfam family "tRNA". Rfam says of the family: Transfer RNA (tRNA) molecules are approximately 80 nucleotides in length. Their secondary structure includes four short double-helical elements and three loops (D, anti-codon, and T loops). Lineage: Eukaryota; Viridiplantae; Streptophyta; Magnoliopsida; Poales; Poaceae. The record is from RNAcentral.